Non-coding RNA from Paramuricea clavata, 561 nucleotides. The record is from the annotation of a GenBank genome assembly. Lineage: Eukaryota; Metazoa; Cnidaria; Anthozoa; Malacalcyonacea; Plexauridae.
CCUCAAUCUAAAUCUGUCUAAUUUUGCAGCGGCUGUUUAGGCCCACAAAAUUGUUAGAGGAGCAUGCCUAUUAAGACAAUUUGUAAUAAGAGUGUUCAGGUAGCUUACUUGCAGAUCGAGAUCCUUUGUGGAAUAAAUUAUACUAAAGAGCAGUUCUUCAAAAUCACGAAUGAAAGCUUCCCUAUCAAAGUCACGUUCGAUCCGGAUAAACUUGUAACGGGCUUGAAACCGUGUGACACGUACGUUGACAGUGAUGUAUGGAACGUCAUAAUCUCCUAUUAGUGGACAGGGUAGUACGUCCGCGUGGGUCACACGCGUCGGCAUGUUGGUAAUAGUGUGAUCUAUCAGUGUUGAUGAGUGCUGAGUGGUUCUUGUAGGUUUUGUGAUAAGUUGCUUUAAGUCCAUUGUUGUUAGAAUAUCUAUGUACUUUGAACUUGUAAUUUAUCUUUGCGAAAUAAGUCAAUGUUAAAGUCACCUGUUAUAAGGAGCAUUCCAUCCCAGGUGAUUGUAAGUUCACUCAGUAUGGAAUCAAAGUCCUCGAACCAAUCAUUAUAAGGCAUA